AAAAGAAUGGCUGCUUCAAGUGCUGUCACCGCAAACUACGUCCUCAAGCCACCUCCAUACGCACUGGUUUGAUUUUUUUUUUCUUCUUUUUAAUAAAAAUCGAAAUUGUCGGGCAAAUGGCGUUUUGUUUUCGUUGGAUUAGAGAUUUGGCUUUUGAAUUACUAGAUGCUAUAACUUGUUACGCCCUCAUAGCCCUUAAAAUAUAUUUUAAUCCUAGCCAAAGGCGUCACAAAUGAAUUAUCAUCAGCUAAUGAACCAAAAAGGCGUUACAAAUGAACUCUUCUAAUUUCGUAAUGGAAGAAAAUAAAAAUCGAAUAAAUUUAUGCAUUAGUGAUUUUCGGGAAAUGGAAGGAGUCAAGUAGGGUGGUCCAUAUCGGGUAAAGGCCGUGAAUGUUCUAGUGGGAAAUUUGGGUAUGGGACAACAUAUCUGAAUUGAUUUUGAAACCAUAUUCCAAAACUAUCUCAGUCCGACCCGUUACUCAAACUUUAUUAAAUUGUCUAAAACAUAUUACUAUGUAGUUUGUAAUAAAAAACUGCAGUGUGGUGUAGUGUUAGAUAUAUAAAUUUUUAUAUAAAUUUAUGACCAUUCCUAGUUCAAAUUCAGACGUUCCUUGGUCUCAUAUUUGUGUUCCUUCUAGUGGACCUAUUGGUUAAGUGAGAGCAAUAUGUUGAAAUGUUUUUGUUAUAAAAUUGGAAAGGAUGCUUUGGAGCCGCAUAUGAGCAAACAAACUCUGGAGUUUCACUGGGGAAAGCAUCACAGGGCUUACGUGGAAAACCUCAAGAAACAGGUUCUUGGAACCGAGCUUGAAGGCAAGCCCUUAGAGCACAUUAUCCACAGCACUUACAACAAUGGCGAACUCCUCCCUGCUUUCAACAACGCUGCCCAGGUGAUAACAAACCCGUUUUUAGUUUGAGCUUUUUAAAUGGGUGCGUGAUUGUUUGAGCUGAUGAUGAUCCAGUGGUUGUGUUAAUAGGCGUGGAACCACGAGUUCUUCUGGGAAUCAAUGAAACCCGGUGGUGGAGGAAAACCAUCAGGAGAGCUUCUUGCUUUGCUUGAAAGAGAUUUCACUUCUUAUGAGAAGUUCUAUGAAGAGUUCAAUGCUGCUGCAGCCACUCAGUUUGGAGCUGGCUGGGCCUGGCUUGCUU
RNAcentral lists this long non-coding RNA (1146 nucleotides) under Arabidopsis lyrata. Its description in RNAcentral is "long non-coding RNA (ALYR_LNC000830)". The record is from RNAcentral. Lineage: Eukaryota; Viridiplantae; Streptophyta; Magnoliopsida; Brassicales; Brassicaceae.